GGAUUUUCCUCUCCUUUGAGAAGAGGACAGAACUGCCUUUCUGCCGAAUAAAUCCAUUUUUCUCCAUUUCUCCUCUACAGAGUGAAACUCAGCACUUGCCUGGAAAAGUUCUAUGGGAGCUCAUUUUGUUGCCUGUUUUCUAGCUAUGGGGAACCAGCACUGCCACCAUUACAAUGGAUCUGGUUGUGAGCAUCAAUUCAGAACUUUUUUCCUCACCCAGGUUUGGAAUCACUGUCAUCAUUUGAUGGAGGGGAAAUUUCUCACUGUAAUAAAUCAGUACAUUUUCAUGGUAUCACAUGGUUGCAAAUCUGAGGUGACAUCAGGGUUUCUUUAUAAACCUUUGAGAACAUUCCUGAAGAAACAAGAAACAGAUUUGACUCACCACUAGCUUUUCUAACUUCAAAUCAACCGAUUCCACCUUUGCUACUUAGCAUACUUUUACUUAUUUCUAAGAGAUCAUCUGUUGUUCAUUUCAAGAACUGUUCAAAAUCCUUUCUAAUCAAGUCAGGCCUUCAAUCCCAUAUCCAACAGCAGUAGUUUUAGAUGGUAACCCUACUUCCUAAAUAAACUAAAUUAAAUUAAUAAAAUGAAAUAAAAG
RNAcentral lists this long non-coding RNA (598 nucleotides) under Sus scrofa (pig). Its description in RNAcentral is "lncRNA (ENSSSCG00070016494.1)". The record is from RNAcentral. Lineage: Eukaryota; Metazoa; Chordata; Mammalia; Artiodactyla; Suidae.